Molecule: non-coding RNA, 588 nt
Organism: Hydra vulgaris (swiftwater hydra)
Lineage: Eukaryota; Metazoa; Cnidaria; Hydrozoa; Anthoathecata; Hydridae
Source: RefSeq, a predicted model, not a curated record
AAGACACAUCAAUCUUCAUCAUCUUUAAAUAAAAAGGAUAAACAUUAUGGAUUUCCAUUAUCUCAAGCAAACUUUCAAUAUUAUGUGUUGCUUCUCUUAAAUGAGAUAAAAACCCAAGGAUGCAAAAAACUUAAUAUAAAAUAGUGUGAAGAAGAAGUAGUAACUGAAAUGAACAGCAUAAUAAAAUUUGAUAAGUUUGACUCAGCACUUGACAAUGUUUCAUCUAGUAACUCUGUAGUAUCUCUGCAGUUAAACAAAGAGUUCAAAAUAUUAGUGGUAAGAACUGUCAAAAACUUGUGAUAGCUAUGAUGAAGAAAUUUGUGACAAAUUCGCUCAUGGCCAAAUCUAAUAUGGCAGCUGGAAAAGGCAAAGGAUCUUUUUAGCCUAACUAAGCUAUACAACUUAAUAAAAGUUUGUGCAUCGACUUCUCACGAAUCAUACACAGAGUCGAUUGUCGAUGCAAUAAUUGCUGAUUCGUGAAAACGGGCAACUUUUGCUUGUCUUAAAGUGCCUUAAAUCCAUCGUUAUAAUAUUACUUUGUUUGUAAAUUGUUUUGAAAAAUAAAUUUAAAAAUAACUUUUAAAUAAA